This 105-nucleotide small nuclear RNA is filed under the name Vombatus ursinus (common wombat). Lineage: Eukaryota; Metazoa; Chordata; Mammalia; Diprotodontia; Vombatidae. The record is from RNAcentral.
GUUCGCUUUGGCAGUACAUAUACUAAAAUUUGAAUGAUACAGAGAAGAUUAGCGUGGCCCCUGCGCAAGGAUGACAUGCAAAUUCGUGAAGCAUUCCAUAUUUUU